This 450-nucleotide ribosomal RNA is filed under the name uncultured bacterium. RNAcentral describes it as "partial 16S ribosomal RNA". It matches the Rfam family "Bacterial small subunit ribosomal RNA", at positions 338 to 795 of the family's 1533-position model. The record is from RNAcentral.
CCUACGGGGGGCAGCAGUGGGGAAUUUUGGACAAUGGGCGAAAGCCUGAUCCGGCAAUGCCGCGUGAGUGAAGAAGGCCUUCGGGUUGUAAAGCUCUUUUGUUUGGGAAGAAAUCCCUAAGGAUAAUACCCUUGGGGGAUGACGGUACCAAAAGAAUAAGCACCGGCUAACUACGUGCCAGCAGCCGCGGUAAUACGUAGGGUGCAAGCGGUGAUCGGAAUUUGUGCGCGUGAUUCGUGCGGACAGGUGUGAAAUCCCCGAGCUCAACUUGGGAACUGCACUUGUGACUGCAAGACUAGAGUGUGUCAGAGGGAGGUAGAAUUCCACGUGUAGCAGUGAAAUGCGUAGAUAUGUGGAGGAAUACCAGUGGCGAAGGCGGCCUCCUGGGAUAACACUGACGCUCAUGUACGAAAGCGUGGGGAGCAAACAGGAUUAGAUACCCGAGUAGUC